Molecule: ribosomal RNA, 210 nt
Filed under: Klebsiella pneumoniae
Lineage: Bacteria; Pseudomonadati; Pseudomonadota; Gammaproteobacteria; Enterobacterales; Enterobacteriaceae
Description: partial 23S ribosomal RNA
Rfam family: Bacterial large subunit ribosomal RNA
Source: RNAcentral
GUUAUAGGGUCAAGCGAACAAGUGCAUGUGGUGGAUGCCUUGGCGAUCACAGGCGAUGAAGGACGCGGUAGCCUGCGAAAAGCUACGGGGAGCUGGCAAACGAGCUUUGAUCCGUAGAUGUCCGAAUGGGGAAACCCACUCCUUUUGGAGUAUCCAUGGCUGAAUACAUAGGCCAUGCGAAGCGAACGCGGUGAACUGAAACAUCUAAGU